Molecule: ribosomal RNA, 791 nt
Filed under: uncultured bacterium
Lineage: Bacteria
Description: bacterial SSU rRNA
Rfam family: Bacterial small subunit ribosomal RNA
Source: RNAcentral
AGAGUUUGAUCAUGGCUCAGAUUGAACGCUGGCGGCAUGCCUUACACAUGCAAGUCGAACGGCAGCACGGGGGCAACCCUGGUGGCGAGUGGCGAACGGGUGAGUAAUACAUCGGAACGCGUCCUGGAGUGGGGGAUAGCCCGGCGAAAGCCGGAUUAAUACCGCAUACGAUCUCUGGAUGAAAGCGGGGGACCGAAAGGCCUCGCGCUCAAGGGGCGGCCGAUGGCAGAUUAGCUAGUUGGUGGGGUAAAGGCCUACCAAGGCGACGAUCUGUAGCUGGUCUGAGAGGACGACCAGCCACACUGGGACUGAGACACGGCCCAGACUCCUACGGGAGGCAGCAGUGGGGAAUUUUGGACAAUGGGGGCAACCCUGAUCCAGCAAUGCCGCGUGUGUGAAGAAGGCCUUCGGGUUGUAAAGCACUUUUGUCCGGAAAGAAAACCACUUCUCUAAUACAGAGGUGGGAUGACGGUACCGGAAGAAUAAGCACCGGCUAACUACGUGCCAGCAGCCGCGGUAAUACGUAGGGUGCGAGCGUUAAUCGGAAUUACUGGGCGUAAAGCGUGCGCAGGCGGUUCGCUAAGACCGAUGUGAAAUCCCCGGGCUUAACCUGGGAACUGCAUUGGUGACUGGCGGGCUAGAGUAUGGCAGAGGGGGGUAGAAUUCCACGUAGCAGUGAAAUGCGUAGAGAUGUGGAGGAAUACCGAUGGCGAAGGCAGCCCCCUGGGCCAAUACUGACGCUCAUGCACGAAAGCGUGGGGAGCAAACAGGAUUAGAUACCCUAGUAGUCC